CCUACUGGAGGCAGCAGUAAGGAAUAUUGGUCAAUGGGCGAGAGCCUGAACCAGCCAUGCCGCGUGCAGGAAGACAGCCCUCUGGGUCGUAAACUGCUUUUAUUCGGGAAUAAACCUACUUACGUGUAAGUAGCUGAAUGUACCGAAGGAAUAAGGAUCGGCUAACUCCGUGCCAGCAGCCGCGGUAAUACGGAGGAUCCAAGCGUUAUCCGGAUUUAUUGGGUUUAAAGGGUGCGUAGGCGGCCUGUUAAGUCAGGGGUGAAAGACGGUAGCUCAACUAUCGCAGUGCCCUUGAUACUGAUGGGCUUGAAUGAACUAGAGGUAGGCGGAAUGUGACAAGUAGCGGUGAAAUGCAUAGAUAUGUCACAGAACACCGAUUGCGAAGGCAGCUUACUAUGGUUUUAUUGACGCUGAGGCACGAAAGCGUGGGGAUCAAACAGGAUUAGAUACCCUGGUAGUCCACGCCCUAAACGAUGAACACUCGCUGUUGGCGAUACACAGUCAGCGGCUAAGCGAAAGCGUUAAGUGUUCCACCUGGGGAGUACGCCCGCAAGGGUGAAACUCAAGGAAUUGACGGCGNGAGACGAGACGAGACGACGACGAGGGAGGAGG
This 612-nucleotide ribosomal RNA is filed under the name uncultured bacterium. RNAcentral's name for it is "bacterial SSU rRNA". It matches the Rfam family "Bacterial small subunit ribosomal RNA", at positions 338 to 951 of the family's 1533-position model. The record is from RNAcentral.